Molecule: ribosomal RNA, 1078 nt
Filed under: Lecidella stigmatea
Lineage: Eukaryota; Fungi; Ascomycota; Lecanoromycetes; Lecanorales; Lecanoraceae
Description: eukaryotic LSU rRNA
Rfam family: Eukaryotic large subunit ribosomal RNA
Source: RNAcentral
GUCACAGAGGGUGAGAAUCCCGUAUGUGACCGGCGACCAACCCCAUGUGAAACCCCUUCGACGAGUCGAGUUGUUUGGGAAUGCAGCUCAAAAUGGGUGGUAAAUUUCAUCUAAAGCUAAAUACCGGCCAGAGACCGAUAGCGCACAAGUAGAGUGAUCGAAAGAUGAAAAGCACUUUGGAAAGAGAGUCAAACAGUACGUGAAAUUGUUGAAAGGGAAGCGCUUGCAACCAGACCUGUCCGCGGGCGUUCCACCUCCGUUCUCGGGGGCCCACUCGCCCGUGAUCAGGCCAGCAUCGGUUCGGGCGGCCGGAUAAAGGCCUUGGGAAUGUAGCUCCCCUCGGGGAGAACUUAUAGCCCUCGGUGCAAUGCGGCCAGCCCGGACCGAGGACCGCGCUUCGGCUAGGAUGCUGGCGUAAUGGUUGUAAGCGACCCGUCUUGAAACACGGACCAAGGAGUUAAUUAUCUAUGCGAGUGUUUGGGUGUCAAACCCAUGCGCGUAAUGAAAGUGAACGGAGGUGAGAACCCUUAAGGGCGCAUCAUCGACCGAUCCUGAUGUCUUCGGAUGGAUUUGAGUACGAGCAUAGCUAAUUUGACCCGAAAGAUAGUGAACUAUACCUGAAUAGGGUGAAGCCAGAGGAAACUCUGGUGGAGGCUCGCAGCGGUUCUGACGUGCAAAUCGAUCGUCAAAUUUGGGUAUAGGGGCGCGCUUUCGCCCCUCACAGCCCGGCUCCCUGACACGGAUCCGGGCCCUAGUCUUGCGGGGCGAGGCUUACGUUCUGCGGGGAUGUUCAGGCCGACUGGACUGCCCGCACCUACCCAAUAAGUAGGUCACAGAUCAAGCGUAGGCCGGUGAUCUCCGCCGCUGGAGGAUCGCUUUAGAUAUGAUCGGGCUCUGGCUGCGAAAGCUAGCGACCACCGGAAAGACUAAUCGAACUAUCUAGUAGCUGGUUCCUGCCGAAGUUUCCCUCAGGAUAGCAGUAACGUUUUCAGUUUUAUGAGGUAAAGCGAAUGAUUAGAGGCCUUGGGGUUGAAACAACCUUAACCUAUUCUCAAACUUUAAAUAUGUAAGAAGUCCU